GCCACUCGUUGGGCACCCUAAUCAAUGAGGAUAGGUUUCGAUGUGGGGUAUUUGCUAUAUGGUAUGGUCAAAGUCAAUUUCUAAUUAUUUGUGUANGCCCUAAUCAAUGAGGAUAGGUUUCGAUGUGGGGUAUUUGCUAUAUGGUAUGGUACAAAGUCAGUUUCUAAUUAUUCGUGUGGGGAAUGAACGCAAACCGCUUCAAGGCAACGGGCUAUCUCCCAACUUUCACUUUAGGAAUGCCUUUAAGGCUAGCUCUCUCCUUUGGUACUCAAUUGGGUAUAUUCCGUAGUGAGAUAAGGAAUUCAAUCGUAUAUGGUAUUGUACAAAUACAGUAUGGCAGGAUUGACUAGCGGGAUGGUUUCAAAAGAAGGAUUUCUUGCGGUAUCGGUACUCAAUAGGGAACUUAAGGGAUAGGAAUGUACUUUGAGUUCUCAAUUCUAUUGCAUUAGAAAGUGGGGAAUUCAAUCGGUAUGGUCGAAGGCAAUCAACUGCCUGACUUCUGUAGAUUCGUAGUGAGAUUGACUGAAUUCAGUUUGACUGAGAGUGAGCAAAAGCAUCUUGUCAAUUGAAACUGCGAUUAGUAAAUUGAUUUCCAGAAUCUAGUUGGACUUAGAGUCCGAUGCCUAUCUUGUAAGUCUUUACAGAAUGGACUUUGACUUUUGAAAGUGUGGAAUUUGGCAGGAUUGAAGGUAUUAGGUAAAAAUCCACUUUCUUGAAUGAAGUGGACUGGGAAGGGAAUGCGAAUAGGAUAGGUUUGCGAAAGACCGAGGUCUUGACUUCUGCCUGUGCCUCUCGCUUUCAUUCACAGGUUAGCCGAAGUCAUUUGAAGGUCUGCUUGCACAUCAAUAGCUUGCUCGAAGUUAUAGUGAACAAGCUCCUCAUACUCCCCGGGAUUAUUUUGGGGAGGAAGGUUGUAGUAAUCACGGCUCUGGAGACUCUAUAUGCGAGCAUAAAUCUCAGCUUCGUUAUCGGCCGCUAUUUCGGCUCUAAACGUAGCCAAUGAUUCACUGCUCGAGGAAGACUCCAAAGCCGGAAGACUACUUUCAUUUCCACUUU
RNAcentral lists this long non-coding RNA (1056 nucleotides) under Lactuca sativa (garden lettuce). RNAcentral describes it as "long non-coding RNA (LSAT_LNC009695)". Lineage: Eukaryota; Viridiplantae; Streptophyta; Magnoliopsida; Asterales; Asteraceae. The record is from RNAcentral.